Molecule: small RNA, 469 nt
Filed under: Pongo abelii (Sumatran orangutan)
Lineage: Eukaryota; Metazoa; Chordata; Mammalia; Primates; Hominidae
Description: retained intron
Source: RNAcentral
CCCAACCCAGACCUGCUUUGCUCUGUGCAUGGCCUCGCUGCCAAGAACCAUGGCUGGGGAAGGGAGUGAAAUAUCUCAGAAGGGUGCAGAGUCUGGCAGCCUAGACCCCUUGAUCCCAAAUUCAGCCGUCUACCCACCUUGCAGACAGUGGUGACCGAGGAUUUUAGCCACUUGCCCCCAGAGCAGCAGCGAAAGCGGCUUCAACAGCAGUUGGAAGAACGCAGUCGUGAACUUCAGAAGGAGGUUGACCAGAGGGAAGCCCUAAAGAAAAUGAAGGAUGUCUAUGAGAAGACACCCCAGAUGGGGGACCCCGCCAGCUUGGAGCCCCAGAUCACUGAAACCCUGAGCAACAUUGAACGGCUGAAAUUGGAAGUACAGAAGUAUGAGGCGUGGCUGGCAGAAGCUGAAAGUCGAGUCCUUAGCAACCGGGGAGACAGCCUGAGCCGGCACGCCCGGCCUCCCGCCCCCC